CCUACGGGAGGCAGCAGUGGGGAAUCUUGCGCAAUGCGCGAAAGCGUGACGCAGCAACGCCGCGUGGGGGAAGACGGCCUUAGGGUUGUAAACCCCUUUCCAGGAGGGACGAAGGUUCACCGGUUAAUAGCCGUGUGGAUUGACGGUACCUCCACAAGAAGCACCGGCUAACUACGUGCCAGCAGCCGCGGUAAU
Molecule: ribosomal RNA, 195 nt
Filed under: uncultured actinomycete GT22-1
Lineage: Bacteria; Bacillati; Actinomycetota; Actinomycetes; Actinomycetales
Description: partial 16S ribosomal RNA
Rfam family: Bacterial small subunit ribosomal RNA
Source: RNAcentral